UACGGAGGGUGCAAGCGUUAUCCGGAUUCACUGGGUUUAAAGGGUGUGUAGGCGGGUAUUUAAGUCAGUGGUGAAAUCUCCGGGCUCAACCCGGAAACUGCCAUUGAUACUAUUUAUCUUGAAUUCUGUUGAGGUAGGCGGAAUAUAUCAUGUAGCGGUGAAAUGCUUAGAUAUGAUAUAGAACACCGAUUGCGAAGGCAGCUUACUAAGCAGACAUUGACGCUGAGGCACGAAAGCGUGGGGAUCAAACAGGAUUAGAUACCCCCGUAGUCC
RNAcentral lists this ribosomal RNA (273 nucleotides) under uncultured bacterium. RNAcentral's name for it is "partial 16S ribosomal RNA". It matches the Rfam family "Bacterial small subunit ribosomal RNA", at positions 524 to 796 of the family's 1533-position model. The record is from RNAcentral.